Molecule: ribosomal RNA, 453 nt
Filed under: uncultured bacterium
Lineage: Bacteria
Description: bacterial SSU rRNA
Rfam family: Bacterial small subunit ribosomal RNA
Source: RNAcentral
AACGAACGCUGGCGGCGCGCCUAAUACAUGCAAGUCGAGCGAGAAGACGUAGCAAUACGUUUGUAAAGCGGCGAACGGGUGAGGAAUACAUGGGUAACCUACCCUCGAGUGGGGAAUAACUAGCCGAAAGGUUAGCUAAUACCGCGUACGCUCCUUGGACUUCGGUUCAGGGAGGAAAGCGAUACCGCGGGUAUCGCGCUCUUGGAUGGGCUCAUGUCCUAUCAGCUUGUUGGUGAGGUAACGGCUCACCAAGGCUUCGACGGGUAGCUGGUCUGAGAGGACGAUCAGCCACACUGGCACUGCGACACGGGCCAGACUCCUACGGGAGGCAGCAGUAAGGAAUAUUGCGCAAUGGGCGAAAGCCUGACGCAGCGACGCCGCGUGGGGGAUGAAGGUCUUCGGGAUGUAAAGCCCUUUUCUCGGAGACGAUCAGGACGGUACCCGAGGAAUAAG